GGCAAGAUGGCCGAGCGGUCUAAGGCGCUAGUUUCAGGUUGUGAUUACUAGUCUUCACGGGCGUGGGUUCGAAUCCCACUCUUGUCA
Molecule: transfer RNA, 87 nt
Organism: Tulasnella calospora
Lineage: Eukaryota; Fungi; Basidiomycota; Agaricomycetes; Cantharellales; Tulasnellaceae
Rfam family: tRNA
About the family: Transfer RNA (tRNA) molecules are approximately 80 nucleotides in length. Their secondary structure includes four short double-helical elements and three loops (D, anti-codon, and T loops).
Source: Rfam